Contarinia nasturtii (swede midge) is the source of this 422-nucleotide long non-coding RNA. RefSeq lists it as uncharacterized. NCBI's taxonomy places the organism in Eukaryota, Metazoa, Arthropoda, Insecta, Diptera, Cecidomyiidae. The record is from RefSeq and is a predicted model, not a curated record. The transcript is spliced from 2 exons.
CUAUCUUCUGGCUGCACUUGUCGCUCAUUCGUGUUCAAAGCCGUAAAAUUGUCACUGAUUAAAAAAAGAAAGAAACGGAAUUAAUUCGUCGUUAAUUAAUUAAAUAAAAACUCCAUUUAUGUGACAUAUUUUCUGGUUUUCCAUAUUAGCUUAAGUGAAAAAGACGAACUAAUUAAAGAGAUUUCGAAUGGCAGACAGCAUAUCAGUGGAGAAUCUUGUGCACUUUAUUAUUAAAGUCAGCAAACAGAGCAAUCAGUAUAAAUUACGGCAAAUAAAACCGAAGAUUUAUUAUCUACCUGCAGGGGAGACGAGAACAACGACGGACGAAAAAUGUACAAGAAAGAAUCGUGAGAGUGCACGUGCUGCAUGAGUAAAGAAUAAGAAAAUGAAAUCCCAUGAAUUAUUAAAAGAAAAUUUCCGCA